RNAcentral lists this ribosomal RNA (253 nucleotides) under uncultured bacterium. Its description in RNAcentral is "partial 16S ribosomal RNA". It matches the Rfam family "Bacterial small subunit ribosomal RNA", at positions 524 to 776 of the family's 1533-position model. The record is from RNAcentral.
UACGGGGGGGGCAAGCGUUGUUCGGAAUUACUGGGCGUAAAGGGCUCGUAGGUGGCCAACUAAGUCGGACGUGAAAUCCCUCGGCUUAACCGGGGAACUGCAUCCGAUACUGGAUGGCUUGAGUUCGGGAGAGGGAUGCGGAAUUCCUGGUGUAGCGGUGAAAUGCGCAGAUAUCAGGAGGAACACCGGUGGCGAAGGCGGGUCUCUGGGCCGAUACUGACGCUGAGGAGCGAAAGCGUGGGGAGCGAACAGG